Vicia villosa (hairy vetch) is the source of this 992-nucleotide long non-coding RNA. RefSeq lists it as uncharacterized. The record is from RefSeq and is a predicted model, not a curated record. The transcript has 3 exons. NCBI's taxonomy places the organism in Eukaryota, Viridiplantae, Streptophyta, Magnoliopsida, Fabales, Fabaceae.
GGGAAAUUAGGGUUUUUACUUGUGACGAAUUAGCUUCUCUCGUGAAACUCAGAAACUCUCUUCUCCUUCACGUGCGGCGGCCGGGCCUCCCUCAUCUCUCGCUCUGGCUUCUCUCCGAUCUCAAUCUCUCUUCCUCACGAAUGAAACGGCGCGAUUCUCUUCCUCUUCCCCGACGAGUUUUCUUCUUCGCCGUGAGAUCACCGUCCGGACACGCUUUCGUCACUUUGCCAUACUCUUAUCUCUCUCGAUCCCUCUCACAUACAUGGCUAACAACGAACAAGCUCGGAGAACGGCGAUUCGUCCAUCGCGGCAAAGACUAAUGAAAUCCAGAAACUCCUCGACGAGAUAGUGCGAAGAUUGAAGUGUGUAGAUGAAUUGAUGAUGAUGUUGCAGAAAGAGUGUGAAGGGAUCGAAGACGUUUGCAGAGAAGAGGCUGAAGAAGCUGAAGAUAGGGUGGCGAUGGAGAAUGAUGAGGAUGAAGGUCGAUGGAUGGGAGAAGAGAAUUUACAGAGUGAAUUUGAGAUGAAGGUGGAAGAAAAUGGAGGGAAUCCAGGAGAGAUUGAAGGUGAAGUGAAUUAUGGAGAAGAUUGAAAAUGGUGGAUGAAAUAGGAGGUGAAGAAGAUUUGUGGAGAAUUGAAGAUGAAGUUGAUUGUGGAGAGUGGUGAAGAUCAAUGAAGAAAAAUGGUGGAGGAUCCAAGAAAGUGAAGACCUGAGCAUAUAUAUAGGUUCGUGUAGAAACUUGGUGAAAUGUGGCUAGCACCAUAAUGAAGAUGAAACAGAAUGGACUUGAAGGAUUUGCUUGCGGUUCGAAGACGAAAUGGUGCAUUUGAGGAGGACUUUGAAACCUUUUUUAUGUGUAGUUCUUUUUGUAAUUUGAACAUAAUGAUCUCAGCUUGAAUUUGUAAAUAAAGUAGGCUUUUUGUAAUGAUUUUCUAUUUUCCAUGGGCUUGUAAUAAUUGGGGACCUUGGUAAUGGAUUUUGUAAAAUUUGAA